This 253-nucleotide ribosomal RNA is filed under the name uncultured bacterium. RNAcentral's name for it is "partial 16S ribosomal RNA". It matches the Rfam family "Bacterial small subunit ribosomal RNA", at positions 524 to 776 of the family's 1533-position model. The record is from RNAcentral.
UACAGAGGGUGCAAGCGUUAUUCGGAAUCACUGGGCGUAAAGAGUUCGUAGGCGGUUUGUUUAGUCGAAUGUGAAAGCCCUGGGCUCAAUCCAGGAAGUGCAUUCGAUACUGGCAAGCUAGAGUGCAGGAGAGGAGAGCGGAAUUCCAGGUGUAGAGGUGAAAUUCGUAGAUAUCUGGAGGAACAACAGAGGCGAAGGCGGCUCUCUGGACUGUCACUGACGCUGAGGAACGAAAGCGUGGGGAGCAAACAGG